UACGUAGGGUGCGAGCGUUGCCCGGAUUUAUUGGGCGUAAAGGGCGCGUAGGCGGUCACGCACGUCCGUUGUGAAAUCGCUCGGCUCAACUGGGCGGGGUCAGCGGAUACGGCGUGGCUGGAGCAAGCUAGGGGGCAAUGGAAUUCCCGGUGUAGUGGUGGAAUGCGUAGAUAUCGGGAGGAACACCAGUGGCGAAGGCGACUACCUGGCCUGUUUCUUGACGCUGAGGCGCGAAAGCUAGGGGAGCAAACGGG
RNAcentral lists this ribosomal RNA (254 nucleotides) under uncultured bacterium. Its description in RNAcentral is "partial 16S ribosomal RNA". It matches the Rfam family "Bacterial small subunit ribosomal RNA", at positions 524 to 776 of the family's 1533-position model. The record is from RNAcentral.